This 459-nucleotide ribosomal RNA is filed under the name uncultured bacterium. Its description in RNAcentral is "partial 16S ribosomal RNA". It matches the Rfam family "Bacterial small subunit ribosomal RNA", at positions 338 to 795 of the family's 1533-position model. The record is from RNAcentral.
CCUACGGGAGGCAGCAGUGAGGAAUAUUGGUCAAUGGCCGGAAGGCUGAACCAGCCAAGCCGCGUGAAGGACGAAGGUGCCAAGCAUUGUAAACUUCUUUUGUCAAGGGACAAAAUCAGGCUCGAGAGCCUGACCGAGGGUACUUGAAGAAAAAGCAUCGGCUAACUCCGUGCCAGCAGCCGCGGUACUACGGAGGAUGCGAGCGUUAUCCGGAUUUAUGGGGUUGAAAGUGUGCGUAGGCGGGCUGUUAUGUCAGCGGUAAAAGCCCGGGGCUAAACCCCGGAGAGCCGUUGAAACUGGCUGUCGUGAGAUGUGGAGAGGUAUGCGGAAUGCGAAGUGUAGCGGUGAAAUGCUUAGAUAUUGCGCAGAACUCCGAUUGCGAAGGCAGCAUACCGGCGGAGAUCUGACGCUGAGGCACGAAAGCGUGGGUAUCGAACAGGAGUAGAUACCCGGGUAGUC